This is a long non-coding RNA of Osmerus eperlanus (European smelt), 2088 nucleotides long. RefSeq lists it as uncharacterized. Lineage: Eukaryota; Metazoa; Chordata; Actinopteri; Osmeriformes; Osmeridae. The transcript is spliced from 2 exons. The record is from RefSeq and is a predicted model, not a curated record.
UGGUGAUCGCAACCCAACCGCGGCUUGAUGAGAGUCGUGUUGUGAGCAUGCUGCAGUGAGGUCAAUCUGCCAUUGGAGGGGGGUGAGAGGCAAGGCAAUUAUCUUUUUACCAUAUGUGUGUGCACAUGCGCGCGCGUGAAACAUUAGUUCCAAAUACAAUCGCCAGUUUUUUCUUUUCUCAUCACGUCUCGGAAAUGACUAGGAUCGAUGCCAUUGGUGUGAGUGCGCAGUAAGUAUGUAUGUUAUGUUGGCUGAUAACCCAAUUUCCAUGACUGAAAAUAUACAGCAGAAUCUCUCCAUCAACUCAUCCUGUGCGAUAACAUAACCGAAGAUGAGAAUCCCUGUCGUGGUUCAGGCUUUGCUGUUUUCGACAGCGUACGGCCCUGUGGAACUGGGGCCUGACGUGACAAGGAGAGAGCAACAAUCCAGGAAGUCUCCCUGCGGCUUCACAACCACCAAGUCCAGUCCCUCGCUUUACAACCGCCAACCCUGCCCCUGUUCAUCAUCAUUUAUAUAUAUUUAUAUAUCUUUCUAAUUCUUCAAACCUGUGCACAGCAUGUACUGUGCCUGUACACCAUAUAUUUCACAAGACAACCUGAGGUCAAAGGUUAAAAGCGAUGACUUCCUGUAUCUUGUUCAAAGGUUAGAAUGACUUGCAAACGUUUCCACAAACUGCCAAUUACCACUCUGCAACACCUUCCACACAAUAAAAAAAGUGAUUUAUAAUGUCAGAUCAAUCACCAAAAGGAAAUGUAAUUGACCCCAGCCCUGUUGAUGUGAUUCUACAGGUUGCACUGUGUGACGAAUAGAAAGCUUUACUGUUUUAUAGAGUAUCUUUGGAGGCUCCUGAUCUUUUUGUUCCUCACUAACCAGCUGGGCUCGGCUUGGGGCCGUGCUCUUUAGCGAACUGAGCUGCGGUUUGAAUGAGGGGGAGGGAGGGGGAUGGAGUGGGAGUAUCAUUCCCCCGAGCAGGAACACGUGUGUGUGUGUGUGUGUGCCCCAUCUGCUUCAUGUGUAUCACAUAAUAUGAACUUUGAAAAUGAACAAAUCCUCUUUUGUAUGUGGGUGCACUCUGCAACACAUUGUUCUACUGUAUGAGGUGUGUGUGUGUGUUUGACUCCGAGUUUAACAGAAGUGUUUACAUCAUGACAGGGAGGUCCACAUUCUACAGGUUCUGACCGGGGAGGUAGUAGAACUUUCGAAUGUGAGCCUCACACUAUUGUUUUGGAGUAGGAAUAUGGAAAUUUAUCUACAGCAGUAACACAAUCCUGCCCCAAGGGUUGCACAGACUACAGACCAUUCAGACUCCAGUGGAAUGGUGUGGGAGUAAAUGUUAGAUGUGCCAUCGCAGCCCCGAUCUGAAAGCAUGCCUGUGUCUGGAGCCCACUGUUGUACACACAUUUAUUAAUCACGCCAGAGCCAUCUCAAAGAGCCAUUGUUAUUAGCCAUCAUGUGCCCCAGGAUGCUAACGGGACAUGGCACCCUCUCAUAAGUCAGUCAGUGUUAUAAAUGGCUUUUCCGUACGACUUUGAAUGCCUGCCCUGCCCAAUCCCUUGAAUGCCAGACUUGCAGUAUCUCUGGGUUGUGAGGAAAAAAAACACAAAAAAACAAAUUGAAACUGUGAAAAUACCCACGUGUCAAACAUAUAUUGCUUCGGGGAGUCUUUCCCUCUCAAAAUGCUUGUUUUAGCAACUGAAGAUGUAGUAAAACAUAAAAAAAGAAACUUCUCGUGAACAAGGCUAUGAGGGGGAGGGGGGGUGAGUAGAAGGAUCUAAGAUCGCACUUUAUGGAUGGGUCUUCAGCUGUGACCUCAGACGAAGUUGUGGUGUGGCACCCUGCUCCAAGCUGAGGACACCGUGUGAAUAUUGUGUCCUCAAACUGUGCUUCAGAAUGUCUGUGGGUUUGUUGUUCUCCCACUGUCCAAACAUGCUGUCCUUCCCACAGUAAUAUGAGAUGUAGCUAACUGUAAAUAUCAUCAGUGCGCCUGUUGUCUUCAGUAGCAACAACUGGCUGCAAAGUUUUACCUGCAAUGUUUUGCAUGACCAUGUCAGUUGAAACUGUAAUAAUAAACUCAAAAUGACAAAUGUG